CAGUCCGGACUCCACGACUCCACUUCUUCCUCUCUAAUUUCCACCGCCCCGGUGAAAGAAAACUGGCCGUUGCCGCUCACGUCCUCCGCGGCGCACUCCUCUCCCUCCCUUCCGCACCUCCCGAGCGAGCUCCCGAAGCCGGUGAUGGCAUCGCGGCGAUGCGUGCCGGUCGAGGCGCUGCGCGAGGGAGUUGGGUGGCGGCGGCUCCACCGGCGUCGAGGCGGAACGGCGAACAGGGAUCACCGAGGACGGAGACACCCACGUCGACCAGAGGCUAAGCGCGGCGGUGCGUACGUACGCCGCCUGACCUCUCCCUCCUCUACUCUCCUCUCCCUUUGUCCGGCCUCACUUCUUCUUUCUCUGUUAGCGAGCGCAGCGGCGGGCGCACUGGAGGAUCUCGACCUACGCCGGCGCGUCCUUUACUCCACUGCUUCUGCCAGCGGUGUACUUUGUCCGCCGCCGCGAUCUUGGAUCUACUAUCACAUACGAAUGGUGAAAGGAUCGGCAGGGAUCCGGGGCAAGCAGCACGGCAACUCGCCAUGCCCGUGCUGGCUUCUUCAAAUGAGACUCGAGAUCCUCAGCCUGUUUUGUUGCAGAGAUAGGCAAGUGAUGGACUUGCAGAGAGCCGAAUGAGGAAAUGUUGCUGCUUGGAAAAAACACAAAGUGCGGGAUGUGCAUCUCAAUACACCAAGUUAAAAUCUUGGGAAAAUAUCUUCUUACAUGACCUGCAGGCCAUACCAUGGAAGCAAGAAAUGACACCAUGUGUAGGUAUUUGCAAAAAACCUUAAGGAAACUGUGCCUUAGAGGGGUUUGAAUUGCAAGGUUGCUUCUUAGAUGGGUCACAUGUUAUGAGGAGUACUCCUAAAACCCAUUACUUGCCCUCUGAAAAUAAUAUUACCAUGCCUGCUUGCUAACUUCAGUUUUGGAUUAGUUUUUUUAAAGGAAAAUCGUGGGUGCUAAAUCUUUAACAUUUCUUCGUUAUUACAGUUUGAUUAUAGAAACGGUCUGGAUAUAUAUGGAUUAAUUAGUUCCAUGUAAAUAUUAACCUUAAAUAUUUUUUUUGCUGCAGAUUGACACAAACAGUGGACUGCCAAUAUCAACUACCAGAUUGAUCUACAUGUCAUGACAUCCAUUUCGUUAGAGAAUUUUACUGCCAAAAUAUAUGCAACAUCACCUGUAAGUAGUGCUUUGUAGGCAGGUAUUCAAUAUAUGUGAUAGCAUGCCCUUCUUAUAUAUCUUUUUGCAAUGAUGGGAUUUUAGAGAGCCUUUGCAUAAAUAUAAAACUUAAAUCUAAGCAAGCAAAUCAUAUGUGUUCAGAGUCCAGUCAAGGUGAAGGUGAUCUUGACUGAAAUUUUUAGUUCUUUUUGUUUUAUUAUUCUCUGACACACAAACUCUAUUCAGAAAUUUUGAUGCUCUUGGUCAUAUGUAAUAGUAUUUAAAUUUGAAUGAAAGGCAGAAUUGUAUUUUUAUGAUGGGUUGUUGGUCUCCUCGACAAUACUAAGUACUGACCAGGCUAAGCUUGGCAUUAUGUUUUCAAGGGAUUUUUCAUGUGGCAGUUGUAUAUGCUGGAAAAAACAGGUAGGCGACAUUACCUAUCUACAUAAAACCUCAGAAUUUCUUAAAUUUGAGUGUUGAAAAUAUGUUUCAGUGUGCUCCUAAAAUUCAAAUAAAUAGUGGAACCCCAUGCUUACGUGAACAUCAGGUUGUUCAGUGUUCAUGAGUGUUGAUGUAUCCAUCGCAUUUUAUAGAGUUCUUUAGUGGCCUAACACUAAGGCUUACUUUAGUCUCCUCUCUAUGUCGCCAUUACCAAGUGAAAAUGUAUCAGCAUCAAACACUUAUGUUUUUAUUCUGCAUUGGUGAGAGAAAUAGCUGCAGCAAGCAUCAAUUUAUUCUUUAUGUGCCCUUAUAUAGUUACAGUGCAGUUAAGUUGUUAUUGGCAUGUUUAGUCAAGGUGGCAUCUAUAUAGAUGGCCACUGUGUGCACCAUGAAUUAUGUGGUUGAUUGUAUUUCCUCUUUCCCGUAAAUUAGUCUGAUUUCAUAUGAUCUUAUCUUCCGAUUCCUCUUAUAACCAGGUUGUGGGAUAUCAGGAUAUGGUACUCUAUUUUUUUUGUGAGAUGUAUGGUACUCUAUAUUGAUAUCCAACAUCAUUUACUUGAAGAUCAAUACCAUUUUAGGGUGCAUGGUCACUUUGGUGAGAAUAUCAUUUUGUAUAUCAAUCAGUCCGGCUUCCGAACCACAAGAUCAAUUGUGUUGGUUUUCAUUGUGUUACCUGCAACACUACAGGUAUGUUCUGUUUUCAGUUUGAAGAACCGUCCGUUUUGCUAUUGUGAUUUCAGUACCACUCAUGAUGUGCCAAGCAAGCAAUGCAGGAUCACUUGACUGGAUAUUUGUGCUUCCAUUUUUUGUAUGUGUAUGUGCUUUUCUUCUUGGUUUCCUAAGUACACGUUGUACAAGUGUAAUUGUAAUCGCUGAUGCUAUACUACUUUUGCCAUAGUUCAGUGUUCUGGUGUGUGUGCCUCUAUCAGACAGUGGUACCUUAGACAAGGCAAGCAAAAUUAUUGAUUACAUACUCGGGUUAGUUCCCCAAGCUUCCAUAACUUUCACACUAUAGCAUCGCACAUUUCAGAUAAGCGCACCAAAUCCCUAUGGGGCUUCUCAAUCUUGCCAGUUUUCCUCUAGACUGUUCCCUUCGUGCUCUGUAUUGUGCGUUCUCUAGAUCUUAGUUCAUUGCACAGCCUCUUCUUAUUCACAACUGUUAGUCUUUUAUCUGCCAUUGCCAGCAGUGGAGAAGAUUUUUUCCAUUGAAAAGAGAAAAAUGCAAUUUCUGCAAAGCCUACAUUAGUUAGAUUUAUUUUCCUAUAUCUAAAGUGUCCCCUACUUAAUAGGGUCAUAUGGUGGUGCUUAAGAACAUUCUUUGUUCCGCUGGGUUCAACCUACUUUUUUCAAAGACGACCAAAUCGGGGGGCUUUGGUUGAAGAUCUCAGAUCUUUCGCGCAUAUGGAGUCAGCCCAUCCCGAGCAACACAAGCUAAACCUUUUCAUGCACACAGUUAUGAGCUUCCAAGUUCUCAAAACAUGUUUUCAUGUAUUUUUUAAAUUCAGAGGAAUGGUACAACUGUGUACUUAGAUAAAUAUGAGAUGGUUUGAUCCUGCCUUGCAUUGUUUAGGAUGGUGAACAUAUAGAAGUUUCGAAUCUAUCAUAGAAGGUCAAAUAUCAAAAGAGUAAAAUAUUUAACUCACUUACAAUGAACACACUCAGAAUUACACUUCAUUAUUCGAUUUGGUUGUGUUUGAAGAUCAUGCCUUUUUUAUUUUCUUUAAAGCUUAUCUAAAUAGAAGCUACAGAAUAGUGCAUGCUUAAUUACUUACUGUUCUAUAUCCUAUCGUACAUAUAUUCAUGUGUACAUAUCCAGUCGCAGAUCAAUAUGCCAUUUCGAAGGUUCAGUUUCAAAGAACAUUCUAAGUUAUGACCUUUCUUUGCGGGUUCUAGCGAUAUAUGCAAUGAAGUCAGUCUCUACACAUCAUGAUUAAGCAAUGUGUUUCUGAAUAUCGAUUUUAUGAUAUAUGAGGUGUUUCAAUAUCGGGGUGAUGUUGAUUGCACCAACCCAACACGAAAGGGAAGUAUAGGCAUGUGCCUAAUAUGAACUCACAAAUUCUCGACACUAUUUUCAAGACGAUGGAUGAUAUGGCAGAUGCUGAUUUGCUAUGUCCUCAAGAAUUUCUCCACAAGGUGGAUCCUAGAAAUUUUCGGCAUCAUAAGAUCUCGCUAAAAGUUGCUGCCUCAAUAAUGUUACUACAGAAUAUUAAUCAGUCUAUUGUACUAUGCAAUGGUACCAGUCCCAUGGUUACUAGAUUGGGUAUUUGGGUGAAUGGGUUCUGGAGGCUAAGAUCAUUACUGGUAGCAACGUUGGCCACCGCAUAUAUAUCAAUGAUUGUAUUGCAUGUACCAUCCAUCAAAUGGCCGUUUACAUUACAAUGAUAGCAGUAUCCAGUUCGACCUUGCUAUGCAAUGACAGUUAAUAAGAGCUAGGGGUUGACACUUGAACAAGGUUGUUGUUUAUUUGCCAAAAUUUUCCUCACGGGCAACUUUAUGUGUUGUCUCAAGGGUGACCUCCGGGAGAGGAUU
Molecule: long non-coding RNA, 4125 nt
Organism: Lolium perenne
Lineage: Eukaryota; Viridiplantae; Streptophyta; Magnoliopsida; Poales; Poaceae
Source: RefSeq, a predicted model, not a curated record